This is a non-coding RNA of Camelina sativa (false flax), 1163 nucleotides long. NCBI's taxonomy places the organism in Eukaryota, Viridiplantae, Streptophyta, Magnoliopsida, Brassicales, Brassicaceae. The record is from RefSeq and is a predicted model, not a curated record.
UUGAACAGUAGCCUUAUAACAUAAUUUUUGAUCUUGAAUUUAGAACAGUUUUAAUCCCAGUUCUUCGUGUACGUGGCAUUACGGGAUUUGUUGGGAAUUUUUUGCAAUCGGGAUAAUUUUCAUUUCUCUUCUUCUUCCAUAACGCAACUAGGUUUUCUUCGAGAAAGAGAGAAAACAGCGAAAGCUUCGAUUUUCGUUCGAAGGUAAAAAUUCUAUCAAUCGAGAAAACAGAGACUAAACACCCGACAACCUCUUUAUCUCUUUCACAAUUCACGAACAAGGGGAAGACGGUGAUGGAAGUUGGUAGCGAUGGCGUUGCUGUCAUCACACUCAUCAAUCCUCCUGUCAAUUCUCUCUCUUUCGACGGUACUCCUCUCUGAUUUCAUCAGAUUUCUAGUACUAUACAACUUCAAGAGUAACUACGAGGAGGCUUUGAGCAGGAAUGAUGUUAAAGCUAUUGUUAAUUUUCUUUGAUUAAUUGAGAAUCGAACUAGUUUAUUGAACUGUUGUGGUGGGAAAUAUAAAUCAGGCGGCUGCAGAGCUGGCCAGGGAUCGGAUCGUAGUUGGAGUAUGUGAGCGACCACACCUUUAAGCAAGUAAGCGACUACACCUUUAAUCUUUUUCUUUGCUUAGAAUUGUAGCAGUUUCAUAAUUUUUUGUUUCCUAAGUCCCAUGAGAUUGAUUCUUAUAUUUAGCUAAGUUUAGUUGCUUUGAUUGAUUUCGACUUGGAGUGAUGUUGUUACUUAUGAGCAAAAUGCAAAAGAAGAACCUUUGAACAUCUUUCCUAAAAAGUCUGAAACUUUUUUGAUGAGUUGUUUCGAGGUAUAAACAUCUCUUGAAAGAUCUCAUUGUCCAGUGUUUGCUUAGAUUGAAAGAGAAAAUCUAAAUGAUAGGUUCAUGGACCUGAGCUCUGUUUUGGAGCCUGGCAGGACAUCGGGUUUCAUGCCUCCCCAGCAUCCAGCAGCUUUCCAUCCUAAUAAGAUGGCGGUCUACCCUAGUUACGGUUACUAUCCAAACAUGUCAAUGUGGCCAUUCGUCAAUCCUGCUGGCCGUGAUUCGUCUCAAGAUGUCAAAGAUCAUGCUCCUGUUGCUUAAUCUUCUUUCUGUUAGAUUCAUCAUUGAUCAUAGUUCAGAUGAUUCUUUAUCAGUAGUUUUGCAGUAAC